CUCUGCCUCCGCCUCAAUCUCACACACAUAGCUGGGAGUUCUUCAAAAAUGAGCUGCUAUAUUCAUUUAAAGAUGCCCCCAGGUGAGUGGGGCAAAUAUAAAGAGAAGAACUACCUCCUGGGAACUAGGCCCUUGACAAACACUAUUGCAAAUACAAUACCUCUGCAAAUGGAUCGUUAUUCCCAUUUUACAGAAACAGAAACUGAGGCUCAGAGAAUAUAACCAACUUACAUCCUAAGUCACACUCCUAAAAAGUGAUGGGAUGGGAUUUGAAGCCCAGAGCCAUAGAUCCUGAGGGCCACACUUUCCAACCGCAGUACAUGCUAUAAACUGAAUGUUGGUGUAUUCCCAAAAUUUCUAUGUUGAAGCCCCAACCCCCAUUAUGAUGGUAUUUGAAGAUGGGGCCUUUGGGAGGUAAUUAUGGUCAGAUGAGGUCAUGAGGGUGGGACCUUCAUGAUGGGAUUAGAAAGACCAGCGUUCUGAGGACAAAAUAAGAAGGUGCCUAUCUCCCUAUCAGGAAGAGAGCUCUCAACAGAAAGUGAAGCCAGCACCUGGAUCUUAGACUUGCAGCCUCCAGAAAUGUUUAAGUCCCAGCUGCUCUUUGUGGACCAGGACUGAACAUAUCUUUGUACCCUCCACCUCCAACACGAGGCCUGGAACUUGACAGGCCAAGGCUAUUAUGAGCAUGGAACUGUGUGACACUCCACCAUCUUAUCCAAGUGGACUAUGCAAGAUUUCCAUCUCCCCAUUUCCACGUGGCAAAUGUAGAGCAAGUAAGAUUUGAAGCCUCCAAUAGACUGAAAAAUGUCAACACAGAUUUCUCCCCACCAAAACCAACCAACCAACCAACCAGAGAAAUUCCACAUGUUAGAAACUCCCCAUGAGCUUGGAUCCAAAGAUUCGGUGAUAUCCAGCUGGCAGUCUAUGCCAGAUUUGUCAAAGUGAGUCCCAAGGCUCCUAAAGAAGCAUUAAUCUUCUGUCAGGAGUACCAACUCCAAUAGGGCCUCAACAAGCAAAUUAUGUUCCGGAGAUUUUAGGGCCCAAUGGUGGUAAAAUGUUUAUCACUCUAAUGGCUUUGAAGUAUAAACAGACUUCAUAUCAACACAGUGAUUCUUCUUAUACACACAUUCGGGCUUUUAAAUUGUGCUUAAGUUGGCAGGCUUAAAAGUAGAUUAGUGAGUUUCAAGAGUUAGGGUUUUCCCAGGAAAAGCACAUUUAUUGAGCCAGUUGGUCAGUCACUGAUCUAAAACAAUUGUUUUACCUUAGAAAUUUUAGACCCUGAGAUGUCUUAAGGGUGUCUGAGAUCCAGAAAUUCUCCCUUGAACACAAUCCAAGAAGGGCCAAUAAAUAAACCUGAUUCAUGGCAAGAGGCAUUACAUUCAGAAAAAGACCCACACAUCACAAUAAUCCACUCGAUUACUGGAGGCAGGAAUGUAGAUCAGGGAUGUAAACUGGCAGUGGAUUAAAAGGAAAAAAAAACCCACAAUAAUGUCUAAUAUUGAGGUAGCACAGCUCUCAAUAAUUCAAAGCACAUGCGCUUCUAUUGUGUUACCUUAACCCAGCCAGAAGCCUGUAAAGGCAGGUAUAAGGAGGGCUAGUAACCGCAUUUUAAAAAGGAAAAAAGUUUAAAGAGGUAAAUUAUUGACUUGGCCAAGGUUAUUUAGGCAAUCGAUGAAAGCCAGAUUCAUAACCCACUCUCCCACCUAAGGAAGUCAACUUGCCUAUGACAGUGACUAGUGGUAACCAAGCCAGUAAGGAAGAUUCAAAACCAGCAGCUAAAUCAAAGAUGUUAACUGGAUGUUCAAGAAUCCUCCUUGUGACUCAAGGAUCAAGGAAAGACCAAGAAAACAAGUCUCUCCCACGAGUUAAGUUCAGAACCCAAAGCUCCUUCUUUCCUCAGAAAAAAGCUACAAGCAUUUCACCUGCCUUCUGAAAGGAGGCAAGAGAGAGUCUAAGUGCUACAUCCUCUUACCUAUACCUUCUUACUUCACCCCAUGUCAGAUGCUUGGGAACCACCACAAACCAGGGAGCUGCCCUGUGAAGCUUAGCAUCUCUCUCCCUCUCUUAUCCCCAACUAUAGAGAGAAUAGCAGUAAGUCGAACAACACUCCACUUCUCCAAAAAAGUUUAUACACAUGCGUGAGCAUUCCAUACAAUGUAUGUAAUAAACUGGAAGAGCACCCAAGUAAAUAAAGAACAGAUCAAAAGGGAGGUAUGAGGCAGCCACAUUCAACUCUGCACUUGAAAAUUUAAAUGAAUACUCCUUGAGAGCAAACUACAAAAUGCUAACCUUGAAGUGCUGAGUGGCAGGAAGAAUUAUGGGUUAUUGUACUGUCAAAAUGCCAGACAGCUGUAUGUUGAGUUGCUGCGUUAUUUAGACAAUCAGAAACUUGGAAGCUAAUGUGACAUAUUUUUUUUCGGUGUGAAAGCUCUUGACAUGCAUCACGAUAAUUUCUAAAGGGACAAAAUGUUAUAUAAAAAACAUGGUGCCUUCAGGAGAUGGCCUCAUAGGUAGAACAGCCCCAGGCAGACCAGGAAGGAUGUCAACAAUGUGGACUUCCCAAGGGAGAGGACCAUUUCCUUCCAGUCUUAGUCCACAGGGGAUGGUCCCAAGCAACAUGGAGCACGCUCAUUCCAACUUCCUACUCUCUCAUCACGGAAGAAAUGCUCCUGGAUUCACCUGCCUGGCUGUAGGCUGGGCUGGGCCAGGUGAAGCCCACUAAUUGCAGGAUCAUCUCUCAGCUGGAUGAGCAAUAUGGAGAUCACAUUCAGAGGAUGCUACCAGAGAUCAUGGUACUGUGCAAACCAGGGGAAGAAAUGGGGCUAUAAUUCUACCUCUGCUCUUGCAAGUUAGUUUACCUUCCACACGUAUUCUUGAUUGGCUCGUGGACAAGUACAAAUAGAAUGAGUGGUAGCCAUUUUAAGGAAAUUCCUAGCUUUGACUCUCAGGUUGCCCUAAAGUGAGAGUGGGAGGCAGGUCAUGGUUGACUGUACCUGAAAUUCUACCUUCAGUACUUUAACUACAACUAAAAUACAAACAUUAACACAUUGAACUUCCAAGAGUCACCGCUAACUUAGGGCAUAUGGAAGUUCUGAGAAUUGGUUUUGCCGGGUGCGGGGAGGAGGAGUAUAGGAUUUAAGAUCCAGAUGAGGGACAGGGGCCUAUGGGACAGGCAGAAAGAUAAGCCAGAGAAAAUUCCAGAUAGAAAGUACCAUACUCUGUGGAUUUGCCCUCUUCUCUGCAUUUCUUCUUGAUCAAAAGGAAAACCAUCCCAUCCAGGAGAAGAGAAAGUGGCUGGAGACUGGUGGGUCAAGGGGAGUGUUCCUCUCCUAACAACCAUUUCCAGUCAGCAGGCACAGACUCUAUCCUGAGGCCAUCUCUACCAUAUGUACCAAUAGCAUGACCUUUAGCAAAUUAUUUAACCACAGUUUCCUUAAAUGCAAAGUGGGAACAACAAGAAUAACAUCCUCAAACUGAUGUUGAAAGAUUUCAUGGGCUAAUUACUUAGAGCAGUGCCAGCCAGGUGAUGAUGGUUCUACUCAAAUAUUAUCACAGCAUCCUCCUCUUAUCAUCACAGCUAACAGUUUAUACCAAAUCCCCACUGCCAGCUGCAGGAGUAGAAUCCCCCGGGAUACUUUUCCCAGGACAGCAAAGCAACUUUGAAUCACAAGAGUUUCCUGUGCUCCCUGCUAUGUGAUCCUAGACAGGAUCCUACACCCAACACUCACCCACCCCAGAAAAGGCCAGCAUACUGUGCCAUGCAGAGAAGGAAGUCCAUUGUCUAAGUGGAAAUCACCUGGAUUUAGAUGGUGCCUCCCGCCACAAGCUCCACUAAGCAUCGUAAGUAAAGACACUCUCUUCUUUU
Leopardus geoffroyi (Geoffroy's cat) is the source of this 3865-nucleotide long non-coding RNA. RefSeq lists it as uncharacterized. The transcript is spliced from 3 exons. The record is from RefSeq and is a predicted model, not a curated record. Lineage: Eukaryota; Metazoa; Chordata; Mammalia; Carnivora; Felidae.